CAGUCGUACCGGCGGAUAAUCAACCUUUCGGGUGCGAUUCUGUGGGGCGUGAAGAGUUUAACCGCCUUCAUGUUUUGCAUAUUCGUGCACAUUUGGUGUACUUGUCCGUGUGGUGGGUUAACAUCAAUUUCGGACGUCAUAAAAUGAUUGGAGGAAUGUAGCUUUGAUCUCGUAUUGAAGUGUUAUAGCCUUCGGCAGAUGUGAUGAUCGAGAUUGAGGAUUGCAACGGAUACCCUUCGGGGCUACCUGUCUGAUCUCUGAUCGUUGCUCUGGUACCGUAAAGCGUGCUUACGGUUAUCAAAGUCGAUGGUCAACAGGUUAGAACGGUUAAAUUCGUUAAGGAUGUU
Molecule: ribosomal RNA, 347 nt
Filed under: Rhizophagus intraradices
Lineage: Eukaryota; Fungi; Glomeromycota; Glomeromycetes; Glomerales; Glomeraceae
Source: RNAcentral